UGGUUCGUAACUCAACUGGUUAGAGUACCGGUCUUUUAAACCGGGUGCUGUGGGUUCGAGUCCCACCGGGCCAA
This 74-nucleotide transfer RNA is filed under the name Chitinophaga agrisoli. RNAcentral's name for it is "Chitinophaga sp. BN140078 tRNA-Lys". It matches the Rfam family "tRNA". From Rfam's summary of the family: Transfer RNA (tRNA) molecules are approximately 80 nucleotides in length. Their secondary structure includes four short double-helical elements and three loops (D, anti-codon, and T loops). The record is from RNAcentral. Lineage: Bacteria; Pseudomonadati; Bacteroidota; Chitinophagia; Chitinophagales; Chitinophagaceae.